CACACUUCAUUGUAAAAAUGUUUACACCUCUAUUCGAUCAUCUUACUGUUGAUGAGUUUUGACAUUUCAAUUUACGGUGCACGUUGAAAUCAAUUUAGCAAACAUUUUCGAAUCAGUAACCAAAUCAUGUUGGUAGUUGGACCUCAAAUCUUUACAGUUUAAAUUUACCCAAGGGGCAAAUCACUCUAAACUCUAGACAAUCUCAUACUAAUAAACUCAUUUCAUUCCAAAAUAAUCUUCUCUAAUCUCAAUUAAUCCCAACUAGUCUAGAUAAGUUUGGGUAAUUUUAAACUAAUCCAACCUAGUUUUGCCUAAUCUUGUUUGAAGUGUAUCUGUCAUUCGAGCUCGCAAAAUAAAGUGUAUGGCAAGUAAACAAAGAACGUUUUUAAGAUGCUUUCUCAGCUCUUGAAGAAAAAAAAACCCGAUUUCGAAAUAUCGACUGUGUUUUGAAUAAAAGGUAGCAAUUCCUGGAACAGUUCGUGAAGCCAUAUCAAGCGACUCCCACCGACAUCUGAUCCGGUAGAAUCAUUCUAAUAACGAUGCUGGAAUCAAUCGUCAUCGCGGAAGGAGAAUAAAUAUACAACGGCAACAACUUGGAACAAAUUGGACAUCGUGGUAUAAUUUUCUAUCACUGCUGAUGCAAUUCAAUCAUCAAGCUCAGUGGGACAACGAGACGAGACGCAGUUGACGGUCUAGUGUUUCCCUGUAGUAGUGAUUUCAAUCAUGUUCAGAAAUAUUACGAAUACGACAACUGUCUCGGAUUUCAAUAAUACAAUCAGCCAGCAUUUCGUACCCGAAUAACCAAGCGGAUCAUAGCAGAUGUACCAAACACAAAAGUAAGUAGCUGGACAAGCUUCAUCUCUCACACAGAUGUACUCGAUAUUCCUACAGAAUUACCCGCCGAUUUGGUUAAGGAAACGGUGUCCCUGUUUAAAACAUGGAUGGUAACAAUGCAAUUCCACAGCCGAAGUUCUAUGAGGAUUGCAGUUCAACAGCAAUCAACAUAUUUAGAAGCAGCAACAUACAUAUGUUACAGUAAUAAUAAUAAUAAGAUUCCUGAGGUUUAGUAAAUGUACAAAUGAGGUUUAGUAAAUAUACAUAGACCCGUUGAGGCAUUCUCGCUAGGUGUGGAGAGUUGUACAACUAAUCCUCCUACUAACGGUGUUCUAUUGUUACUGUGUUGGAUACAAUAAAUUUUUUAUUUAGAUUGUGUAUUACUACAUCGGAAAUGCAAAGACCAUUUAUAAUGAAAUCGAUAUAAUCAUUCCCAAUGGGUCAAAAGAACCAAAGGUAGAUUUCUUGUGUUUAUUUUCUCUUCUGGUAAUAACAUCAAUUUUCUACGUUUACAAAUUUUAUUGGAAAUUUAGCGCAAUUAUAAUUAUGAUGUAAGGUAAACUAACUUAUUCUGUCUAUUGGGAGUUCGUGUAAUGAAAUACAAUAACUUUUACUUAA
This is a long non-coding RNA of Malaya genurostris, 1452 nucleotides long. RefSeq lists it as uncharacterized. The transcript is spliced from 3 exons. Lineage: Eukaryota; Metazoa; Arthropoda; Insecta; Diptera; Culicidae. The record is from RefSeq and is a predicted model, not a curated record.